GACGAACGCUGGCGGCGUGCUUAACACAUGCAAGUCGAACGCUGAAGCUUGGUGCUUGCACUGGGUGGAUGAGUGGCGAACGGGUGAGUAAUACGUGAGUAACCUGCCCUUGACUCUGGGAUAAGCCUGGGAAACUGGGUCUAAUACUGGAUACGACAUGCCACUGCAUGGUGGUGUGUGGAAAGGGUUUUACUGGUUUUGGAUGGGUCACGGCCUAUCAGCCUGUUGGUGGGGUUAUGGCCUACCAAGGCGACGACGGGUAGCCGGCCUGAGAGGGUGACCGGCCACACUGGGACUGAGACACGGCCCAGACUCCUACGGGAGGCAGCAGUGGGGAAUAUUGCACAAUGGGCGGAAGCCUGAUGCAGCGACGCCGCGUGAGGGAUGACGGCCUUCGGGUUGUAAACCUCUUUCAGCACGGAAGAAGCGAGAGUGACGGUACGUGCAGAAGAAGCGCCGGCUAACUACGUG
Molecule: ribosomal RNA, 471 nt
Filed under: uncultured bacterium
Lineage: Bacteria
Description: partial 16S ribosomal RNA
Rfam family: Bacterial small subunit ribosomal RNA
Source: RNAcentral